GACAUCAGGGAGCUGCAUAGGGUACAGGUGCCCAGUGCUUGGUGGGGUCUGGUAGAUUCACUGUCUGGCAUGUUACUGGGAGGAGUCCCCCUACUGAAAUGAUGGCAGAGACUCUGCUUAUUCCAGACAGACAGGAAUCUGAGAGAGGGUACAAAGCCCCAGAUCCCACACAGGUGCACUAACAUGCCAGAGGACUGCUCCUGCAGUGGGAUAGAGCGACUGCUCCUGCCCGGCCAGCCCCAAUCCUAGCCUGGGCACAGGGCUGGGCAGAUGGUGGGUGACUGCAUGCAUCAGAGUCUGAAUGCUGCUUCUGGAGCACUGUCAGUGUAAGAACAAAUAGUUCAGGUGCAGCAGGUUAGAGCCAGUGCUGGUCUCAUUGCAGAUUCUGGGAAACAGAAUUAAAGUUGAGUGGUGUGCUGCAAUUCUAAAGAUUGAAAUGUGUGAGUGGAGUGAAGUGAAGGAGACCAUCUAUGGCUCAAGACUUUCUCAUUGUUAGAUGAUGUGUACACAAACAGAACAGUGGGAUCAGCCGCUUGUGCAGGGGCUAAGUCAGUAGGCUUCACCCUUCUAUCAGCUUCAGCCAUGUUCCAGUGAUGUCCUCCUCUCAGAGACUGCAGAAUGUAAAGGCUUUAGUAGUACUUCAAAGGCAGAGUCUUCCAUCAACCUCCUCUCUGAAAAUGAAUGUUAGCGCCAGAUAAGAAACUAUAGUCUGCUUUCAAGAAGGUUACAAGAAAACUGCAUCUUGCAUUACUAAUCCUUUAUCUUUCAUGUUAACAAAAAGAUUAC
Mauremys reevesii (Reeves's turtle) is the source of this 786-nucleotide long non-coding RNA. RefSeq lists it as uncharacterized. The transcript is spliced from 3 exons. NCBI's taxonomy places the organism in Eukaryota, Metazoa, Chordata, Testudines, Geoemydidae. The record is from RefSeq and is a predicted model, not a curated record.